AUUGAACGCUGGCGGCAGGCCUAACACAUGCAAGUCGAACGGUAACAGGAAACAGCUUGCUGUUUCGCUGACGAGUGGCGGACGGGUGAGUAAUGUCUGGGAAACUGCCUGAUGGAGGGGGAUAACUACUGGAAACGGUAGCUAAUACCGCAUAACGUCGCAAGACCAAAGAGGGGGACCUUCGGGCCUCUUGCCAUCGGAUGUGCCCAGAUGGGAUUAGCUAGUAGGUGGGGUAACGGCUCACCUAGGCGACGAUCCCUAGCUGGUCUGAGAGGAUGACCAGCCAAACUGGAACUGAGACACGGUCCAGACUCCUACGGGAGGGAGCAGUGGGGAAUAUUGCACAAUGGGCGCAAGCCUGAUGCAGCCAUGCCGCGUGUAUGAAGAAGGCCUUCGGGUUGUAAAGUACUUUCAGCGGGGAGGAAGGGAGUAAAGUCAAUACCUUUGCUCAUUGACGUUACCCGCAGAAGAAGCACCGGCUAACUCCGUGCCAGCCGCCGCCGUAA
RNAcentral lists this ribosomal RNA (506 nucleotides) under uncultured bacterium. Its description in RNAcentral is "partial 16S ribosomal RNA". It matches the Rfam family "Bacterial small subunit ribosomal RNA", at positions 30 to 523 of the family's 1533-position model. The record is from RNAcentral.